Molecule: microRNA precursor, 200 nt
Organism: Medicago truncatula (barrel medic)
Lineage: Eukaryota; Viridiplantae; Streptophyta; Magnoliopsida; Fabales; Fabaceae
Rfam family: MIR2619 microRNA precursor family
Source: Rfam
AAACAGCCCCUUAUGUAUUGGAUCUAUGGCGGUUUUGACCCCUAAGGCCACUUUUGACUUAGUAUUCGCUGACGUGGCACCCAUAAUGGUCGACACGUGGUACCUCACUUAAAAGAUGUGGGUGCCACGUCAGCGAAGACUAAGUCAAAAGUGACAUUGGGAGCCAAAACUGCCAAAGAUCCAAUACAUAGGGGUUGUUU